CCAGUAUGACUAGUAAGCGUUUUUAACGUCCAGCGUUGCUAGCAAAACAACUAGGCGGUAGUAUGCAUUUUCUCUUUACGUAGCUCUGGCUGCCUGAACCUCUUCAUCAAUAGCUCCCAUUUUGGAUUUUCCAGGUCUGAGCCCGUGUUGCCUGGGGCUACGUUCUCUAG
Molecule: long non-coding RNA, 170 nt
Organism: Drosophila navojoa
Lineage: Eukaryota; Metazoa; Arthropoda; Insecta; Diptera; Drosophilidae
Source: RefSeq, a predicted model, not a curated record